AGAACGAACGCUGGCGGCAUGCCUAACACAUGCAAGUCGAACGAGACCUUCGGGUCUAGUGGCGCACGGGUGCGUAACGCGUGGGAAUCUGCCCUUGGGUUCGGGAUAACAGUUGGAAACGACUGCUAAUACCGGAUGAUGACUUCGGUCCAAAGAUUUAUCGCCCAGGGAUGAGCCCGCGUAGGAUUAGCUAGUUGGUGAGGUAAAGGCUCACCAAGGCGACGAUCCUUAGCUGGUCUGAGAGGAUGAUCAGCCACACUGGGACUGAGACACGGCCCAGACUCCUACGGGAGGCAGCAGUGGGGAAUAUUGGACAAUGGGACGAAAGCCUGAUCCAGCAAUGCCGCGUGAGUGAUGAAGGCCUUAGGUGUAAAGCUCUUUACCGGGAUGAUAAUGACAGUACCGGAGAAUAACGCCCGACUAACUCCGUGCCAGCCAGCCGAC
RNAcentral lists this ribosomal RNA (444 nucleotides) under uncultured soil bacterium. Its description in RNAcentral is "bacterial SSU rRNA". It matches the Rfam family "Bacterial small subunit ribosomal RNA", at positions 26 to 518 of the family's 1533-position model. The record is from RNAcentral.